Molecule: long non-coding RNA, 960 nt
Organism: Papaver somniferum (opium poppy)
Lineage: Eukaryota; Viridiplantae; Streptophyta; Magnoliopsida; Ranunculales; Papaveraceae
Exons: 9
Source: RefSeq, a predicted model, not a curated record
GAAACAGAGGGGGAGACAUCGUGUUUUGAAAUUUAAGAAGACGACUCUUUUUUUUCCAGGCUAGAGGAAGCUGAUUAUGCCGUCUGGAGCGGGAGUUCUUGAACUUCUUUGUGAUAGAGGUUGUGAGAUGCCUGGCUAAUGAAGGUAUUAUAAGUGCAUUUCGAAUCAUGACUUGAACAAAGGAGUCUCUGGGAAUCAGAUUUAUGGGGUGAAAACACCAGUAAAGAGCUUUCUUCACCCGUUAAGGAACUCAUAUAGACGUAAUGUAAAUAAGUUUCUGUAUAUUUUUUGGAAGAUGGUGUUGAGGGUAAAACGUCGGAUGAUUUUACAAGAUGUAUGGCAAAAAUUAACAAAAUGAACCAUGGUGAUGUCAGUGCUGAUGAUUUAGAGACAGACCAAGACUAUGCAGGAUCCAGAGAUUCAGAACAUUCUAUCCGAUGUAGUCAUGACACAGGUUAACACGCACCAUAUACGAUGGAUCUGACAAGGUCAUAGGCAGGCCUUGCGACGAAGAUCAGUAUUUUUAAGGAUUGUGCUCAUCCAAAUAAGAAAUAAAGGAUGCAAUUAAAUAGAGAUUUAGGUCUCGAACCUCGCCAGAUUAAUUCUGGUUUCAUAGCAGAAGGACCCAGAUGAAGGGUUCAAGUAGAUUAAAGGUGCUUCCUUUGAGCUGUUCAAGGAAAUUCCCAUUAGAGUUUCCGGUUUCAUAGUACUUGGUAUAUGCACCCAUAUAAAAGUGCACUUCUUUUGUAAUGGUAGAGCGCCCAAACCUAUCACAAGGUUUGCGAAGGUUCAUGGUUCAAAUCCAUUUGAGUUUUCAUGUUAUGUGUUUUUAAUAUGGAUAGUGUUAUAGAUGGACGAUUCAAGUUGCAUGUGGUGUGCAAACUGGUGCACCUUGUCUUGUCUUUGGAUUUUUUGGAUGUUUGUACACCAAUGUGAACUAAUUUUUUUUUAAAAUGAGAA